This 301-nucleotide ribosomal RNA is filed under the name uncultured bacterium. Its description in RNAcentral is "partial 16S ribosomal RNA". It matches the Rfam family "Bacterial small subunit ribosomal RNA", at positions 509 to 807 of the family's 1533-position model. The record is from RNAcentral.
CAGCCGCCGCGGUAAUACGAAGGGUGCAAGCGUUACUCGGAAUUACUGGGCGUAAAGCGUGCGUAGGUGGUGGUUUAAGUCCGUUGUGAAAGCCCUGGGCUCGACCUGGGAAUUGCAGUGGAUACUGGAUCACUAGAGUGUGGUAGAGGAUAGUGGAAUUUCCGGUGUAGCAGUGAAAUGCGUAGAGAUCGGAAGGAACAUCUGUGGCGAAGGCGACUAUCUGGGCCAACACUGACACUGAGGCACGAAAGCGUGGGGAGCAAACAGGAUUAGAUACCCCAGUAGUCCCUGUCUCUUAUAC